AGAGAGGGAACUGAUUCCUCAAGAUUACACAAGUGUAGGGGCGCAGUCGGUUAAGCGUCCGACUUCAGCCAGGUCACGAUCUCGCGGUCCGUGGGUUCGAGCCCCGCGUCAGGCUCUGGGCUGAUGGCUCAGAGCCUGGAGCCUGCUUCCGAUUCUGUGUCUCCCUCUCUCUCUGCCCCUCCCCCGUUCAUGCUCUGUCUCUCUCUGUCCCAAAAAUAAAUAAACGUUGAAAAUAAAAUAAAAAAAAAAAAAGAUUACACAAGUGUUUAAACAACGGAGUUCCCAGUUGAACACAGCUCCUCUCAUUCCAAGUCCUGUGCUCUUUGCUAGUCCAUGUCUUUGGACAUGACUAUUUUGUACUAUUUAUAGUUUCCGGAAUUAUCACUUUUUUCCUUAGUAUUGGCGAAUUAAAAAAAAAAAAAAGACUCCAACCUGUUUUAACUGUGCUAAAAGGAAGACAAAAAGCAAAGUGGGUGUCUAUACUUGCAUCUGGGUUCAAAAUAGGUGACAGGGUGUUGGGGUGGGGUCUGGUGAGCAGAGUGGCAGGGAAGUGGAGAUCCCAGGAGCCAGCGUGGCAGGGCAUCUAGAGAAGCCGCUGGGGAUCCCCUCUGGCUCUAUGAAGAGUCGGUGCCUCCAACCCAGCUCUCCCACUCUUCCCACACUGGGGAUCCAGAUGAAGCUGAGCCCCAGAAUAGUGAUGCGUCCUCGUCAAGGUCACACAGCGAGUUGGCGGCAGAACCGGAAUGAGAGCGCAGGCCUUCACUGAGUGCCUGCUUGGUGCCCCACACCGGACUAGCUCUGCACACGUGAUCUUGUUUAAACCCCGCAACAACACUGCAAGGUGGAGAUUAUCAUGUCUGUUCUCGAGAUGAGGAAACUGAGGCUCGUGUCCUAGAUCUCCCAGUGAGAAAGUGGUAGAACUAGCUUUGAACUCAGAACUUCCUCACGAUUUCCCUUCCCAUGCCCCCCAGACUAUUAAGGUUAAGAGUGGAGACUGAGGGAUGGGGCGAGACACGUGCUCAACAGCUCUAGAGACACAAUAGGAAGGGAACAUAGGCUGAGAAACGUCUCAUCCUCAGCUUAGGCUAGACCAGCUCUCCAUGACCUUCAUAAAGUGGCCCAAAUAUUGAGGUCCUCCCCAAAUUCCAUUCUGAGAGGGUAAGUCUGGGGGUGGGGGGGUGGAAACAAGGUGGUUAGUGGCCCUUCACAGUUGUGAGAGUCUGGAGAUUCAAGAGAGGUCUUAAUCCACAGGCUUCUUUCUGAUUUCCUACCUAAGGUUCAGCUG
This 1285-nucleotide long non-coding RNA is filed under the name Felis catus (domestic cat). RNAcentral describes it as "lncRNA (ENSFCAG00000052565.1)". Lineage: Eukaryota; Metazoa; Chordata; Mammalia; Carnivora; Felidae. The record is from RNAcentral.